UACGGAGGCAGCAGUGGGGAAUUUUGGACAAUGGGCGAAAGCCUGAUCCAGCAAUGCCGCGUUGAGUGAAGAAGGCCUUCGGGUUGUAAAGCUCUUUUGUCAGGGAAGAAACGGUGAGAGCUAAUAUCUCUUGCUAAUGACGGUACCUGAAGAAUAAGCACCGGCUAACUACGUUUGCCAGCAACCGCGGUAAUACGCUAGGGUGCAAACGUUAAUCGGAAUUACUGGGCGCUAAAGCGUGCGCAGGCGGUUUUGUAAGUCUGAUGUGAAAUCCCCGGGCUCAACCUGGGAAUUGCAUUGGAGACUGCAAGGCUAGAAUCUGGCAGAGGGGGGUAGAAUUCCACGUGUAGGCAGUGAAAUGCGUAGAUAUGUGGAGGAACACCGAUGGCGAAGGCAGCCCCCUGGGUCAAGAUUGACGCUCAUGCACGAAAGCGUGGGGAGCAAACAGGAUUAGAU
RNAcentral lists this ribosomal RNA (456 nucleotides) under uncultured beta proteobacterium. Its description in RNAcentral is "SSU rRNA". It matches the Rfam family "Bacterial small subunit ribosomal RNA", at positions 340 to 783 of the family's 1533-position model. Lineage: Bacteria; Pseudomonadati; Pseudomonadota; Betaproteobacteria. The record is from RNAcentral.